UUCUUUUUUUCUUUCUCUACUGCGAAAGGCGAUUCAAUGUCUCCUCCAUCGUCUUCUCCACUAUCAUCUCCUCUCUGUUUCAAGCUUCUCUUUGGUCAAACAACAGGUCCGGUGAGCAAGCGUGCACUGCUUAUGUGAUGUUCAAAGGAUUCUUAUUCUCAAGAAACUGCAGUUUUACUCACUGUAUAGGACCGUGUACAACGAGAGGCAAGGUAUUGUAUUCAUCAGAGAGUGGACCAUUGUGCUGCGGUUGGAGAGGUCACGAGAGUGGAGCUUUGUGAAAGGUGUGUGUUUCGAUAAGGUGAGAGAGUAUUGUAGUAUUGUGUCUGUCUUGUAUUCACCAUUGUGCUGCUGUUGGAGAGGUCACGAGAGCUGUUGUUGUUGUCUUGUAGUCUUGAUGUUGUUGUAGUCUUGUAGUCAUGUGUCUGUCUUGUAUUCAGGAGAUAGAGGUCAGGUGUUGUAGUCUUGUGUCUGUAUGUAUUCACGAGAAAUGUUGCUGUUGUUGUAGUCUUGUGUCACGAGGUCAUGUAUUUGUUGUUGUUGUUAUAUAUCUGAAACACACUCAUCUUUAUAUGUGUCA
Molecule: long non-coding RNA, 580 nt
Organism: Brassica oleracea var. oleracea
Lineage: Eukaryota; Viridiplantae; Streptophyta; Magnoliopsida; Brassicales; Brassicaceae
Exons: 3
Source: RefSeq, a predicted model, not a curated record